Molecule: ribosomal RNA, 309 nt
Filed under: uncultured bacterium
Lineage: Bacteria
Description: bacterial SSU rRNA
Rfam family: Bacterial small subunit ribosomal RNA
Source: RNAcentral
GACGAACGCUGACGGUGUGCUUUAGACAUGCAAGUCGAACGAGAAAGCCCUUCGGGUGAGUACAGUGGCGAACGGGUGAGUAACACGUGGGCAACCUGCCCCUCGCAGGGGGACGAAACCGGAGGGAAACUCCGGCUAAUACCCCGUAAGCUUGUUGGGUCGCAUGACCCUUCAAGGAAAGGUAGCUUCGGCCAUCCGGCGAGGGAUGGGCCCGCGGUACAUUAGCUAGUUGGUGGGGUAACGGCCCACCAAGGCGACGAGUAUAGCUGGUCUGAGAGGAUGAUCAGCCACACUGGGACUGAGACACGG